Gasterosteus aculeatus aculeatus (three-spined stickleback) is the source of this 357-nucleotide long non-coding RNA. NCBI's taxonomy places the organism in Eukaryota, Metazoa, Chordata, Actinopteri, Perciformes, Gasterosteidae. The record is from Ensembl.
GCCAAAGAAUCGAUCUCUUUCGUCUAACUUCCCGUUAGUAAUAGAUCGCUUUUUUCCUUUCUUUGCCUCCACUCCAUCCCCGCUUUCUUUUUUCGCCUUUUGAUUUAAUGCCCGUUUCACCCCGGAGGACCGGAGAGCAGCUGCUCUCUGACCCCCCGCCGACCUCUGUUCCGAACGAGAAGUUCGGACCCCGCGACUUUGCCCAUCUGCCCCAUCAAACGGUUGCGAGGAGCCCGUUCAACCUGAAGACAAUAUUCAGAUGAAAGGAAGAAAAUGAGAAAUCAGCUAACACUCCCUGAUGUGCGAUGGACACUUGAGCAAGCACGGCAAACGAAGAACAGAGCCCCACCUUCCCCC